This is a long non-coding RNA of Papaver somniferum (opium poppy), 1197 nucleotides long. RefSeq lists it as uncharacterized. The record is from RefSeq and is a predicted model, not a curated record. The transcript is spliced from 6 exons. Lineage: Eukaryota; Viridiplantae; Streptophyta; Magnoliopsida; Ranunculales; Papaveraceae.
AUCUUUUUUUUUUUUUGUAAGAUUCUAGGGUUUUAAUUCAUAGCAAAAUCCGAUUUGAUUUAUGAUUUUAGAUUUGUUUCUGAUUACGUUGUGUUCUCGAUUUCAAUUUUCUUUUUUCUUUGGAUUCGGGAAUUGAAUUUGGAGAUUUUUUUCUGGAUUGGCUGAAUUUAGGCGGAGAUGAUAACGAGGGUUGCUGAAGAAGGAGAUGUUGCAAGCAAAGAUGCUGCUUCUGCUGUUGAAUCGUUUGAUCCGAAACUUAGUGCUUCAACUUCUAGUCUCUAAAGAAAAGCAUUACUUGAGAAACUCAAUGGAGGAGCUGCUAUGCCCGGUCUUCCAUAACAUCUGCUACAGUUCCUGCUUAAGCACCUACCGGCGGGGAAGGUUGCACUUUCUCCUUGUAGUUGGUCAGAAUACACCUCCCCUGAAGGUACAAGUACUACUCUAACAGUGCAACAAGUGAAAGCAGGUGGGAGGAGUUCACCCUAUUUCAGUAAAGACAACAGCAAAACUUACCUCAUCCACAAAAACCUCUAGCACAACAGUUUCAGUCACAAUCACAAUCACAACCACAGGUCCUAUUCACCCACAAGGCACUCAGUCACAUCAAAGUCUGGUGGCUACAGCUGUUGGUGGUGACGCAAUGCGUCACCACCAACAGCUGCGACAACCUUCUUUAAAUUCACCGUACCAGGGAUCCGGUUUCAUUGGUAUCUAAAUGCUUAGGAACUUGGUUAUGCUCAAUCACAGGUUUCAGCCAAUUCAAGUGUUGACCCUGCUUGUUUCCACCAGGAGGUAUAAUUUAGAAGGGAAGGAAGGGGGUCCUGAUGAAAUGUGCCAGCUAAGCUUAUGUAUUCGGUUUUCCUUGUUUACUUCACGGUGGUUGUUGAGCUGCAAAAAGCACCUUCAUCGUUUUGUGUUUGCUUUCUGAGGAGCUUAAGGAAAAAGGCGGCUGCAUGUGCAUAUGUUGAUAGAGCAAAGCUGCUAAAUGAUGCUUAUUAUGACUGCAAGAUUGAUGAAUCAUAGAUGGAAUACCUGGAGAAGUUUGAAGAGGUGAUAUGAUUAAAUUAGAGUGGCAAGGUGAUAGUAGAUUGAAUUCAGUGAUAUCCGGUAGCUAGAAUUUAUUUUUAAAACUGUACCUGAGAUUGCACUCUUUUGAAUGUUAUUCUGGAUAACUAAUAAAAAAAAAUUAUUUUCAAC